UUUCCUGAAUCAUCGUCGCCUGAGAUCAAAAAGCAAGAUGGGAGAAGAAGUGCUAGUCAGCUGCGACAGCCAAGAGGAGUGGGAUGAACACUUAGAGAAGAACCCUCUGGUGAUGGUUUGCUUUAUCACUUCUAACUCUCCAUCUAGGG
Telopea speciosissima is the source of this 149-nucleotide long non-coding RNA. RefSeq lists it as uncharacterized. NCBI's taxonomy places the organism in Eukaryota, Viridiplantae, Streptophyta, Magnoliopsida, Proteales, Proteaceae. The record is from RefSeq and is a predicted model, not a curated record. The transcript is spliced from 2 exons.